Molecule: non-coding RNA, 246 nt
Filed under: Ruminococcus sp.
Lineage: Bacteria; Bacillati; Bacillota; Clostridia; Eubacteriales; Oscillospiraceae
Description: T-box sequence
Rfam family: T-box leader
About the family: Uncharged tRNA acts as the effector for transcription antitermination of genes in the T-box leader family. T-boxes are found upstream of many aminoacyl-tRNA synthetase genes and some amino acid biosynthetic genes usually in Gram-positive bacteria.
Source: RNAcentral
CGAAAAACGAGGAAGAGAAGGAGUACCUGUUUUCGGGCUGCCUAGAGAAGAGAUGGCUGGUGAAAAUCUCUCAGGCGAUGACAGGGAAGGUAGUCUUGGAGUUCUGCACGGGAAGCCGCAAAGCGGUGUGUAGUGUGCAGCGGGUUCUCCCGUUAUCGAGAACGCAAAUCCCUUGAUUUGCAUGAGUGCAGAGAAGAAUUCUCUGAAUGCAGGUGGUAACACGGACGCAAAUCGUUCGCCCUGAGC